GAGGUCCGGCUCGGGCUCCAGCAUGGCGACCGCGGUGCGCGCUGUGGGCUGCCUCCCCGUGCUGUGUAGCGGGACGGCAGGUCAUUUAUUGAGGAGGCAGCAUUCCCUAAACACCUUACCAGCAGCUUCCAUUUUGGCAUGGAAGAGUGUUCUCAGCAAUGGCCAUUUGUCAUCACUGGGAACCAGAGACACCCAUCCCUACGCCAGCUUGAGCCGUGCACUGCAGACACAAUGCUGUAUUUCUUCUCCCAGUCACCUGAUGAGCCAGCAGUAUAGACCAUAUAGUUUCUUCACUAAAUUGACUGCAGAUGAGCUGUGGAAAGGCGCUUUAGCAGAGACUGGUGCUGGAGCAAAAAAAGGAAGAGGCAAAAGAACUAAAAAGAAGAAAAGAAAGGAUCUGAACAGGGGUCAGAUCAUUGGUGAAGGGCGUUAUGGUUUUCUAUGGCCUGGACUGAAUGUCCCUGUUAUGAAAAAUGGAACAGUGCAGACCAUUGCCCAAAGAAGCAAGGAAGAGCAGGAGAAGGUGGAGGCAGACGUUAUCCAGCAGAGAGAAGAGUGGGAACGAAAGAAGAAGAUGAAGGUUAAACGGGAGCGAGGAUGGAGUGGAAACUCAUGGGGAGGCCUCAGUCUUGGCCCCCCUGACCCUGGUCCCAGUGGAGAAACAUAUGAGGAUUUUGAUACCAGGAUACUUGAGGUAAGAAAUGUUUUCACUAUGACUGCGAAAGAGGGAAGAAGGAAAUCGAUCCGUGUCCUGGUGGCUGUGGGGAACGGAAAAGGAGCUGCAGGUGAAUGGGGAGUGAUGGCAUCACAGUGGCGGUGGUGUGCAGGGAAAGGCGUGGCACGGGCCGUGCUGUGGAGCCCAUGGGCUCAUGCUGCUGGCCAGACUUUUUCCAUUGAUUAAACCUUUUAGUGGUUUGGGUUCACAAAGCUUGUGGUAAGUCCGUAACUUCCCUUAGAGAGAAAAGAGAGAAUAGAUUCUACUGUACUUGCCUUUUCCUCUGAGGAAAAGGAAUGUUAUAAAAGGCUGAAGACAUUAUUUUAUUAUGUAUAAUAGUGGAAAAUUAGGGAGAAAAACACUAAAUAUUCAAUAGGGCCAUGGUUAUAAAAACAGUGUAGCCAUGCACUGUAAUAUUCUGUAUCCAUUAAAGAAUUAUGGGAAAUUACUUUUAAAAUAAUGCUAAGUUUAAAAAAAACACAAAAACAUUAUAUAAGACCAUAUAAAAUCCUAGUUUUGUUUUUUCUCUUUUAAAAGUAUAUUUAUAUGCCAAGAAAAGACUGGAAAACUAUACACUGUAAAGGUUAAUAGUGUUUACUCCAAUUAGUAGGUUCACUGGUGAUUUAAAUUUUCUCCUAUGUAUAGUUACCAUAGUGGAUACCUGUUUUUGAAAUGUAUUCAUGUCUAUUGAAGGAAAAGAACACAGGAAAAUGGCCUAGUUAGCCCAUACUGACAUUUAACAAAGGUAAUACAUAUAUAUAUAGUAUGUGGCCAAAGGAAACCAGGCCUAACAACUACUUUUGUAAUUUUCCUAAAUUUUGUGUUCAUAUUAUUAUCAUACAUCUUUAAAAAAAUUUACACAAAGGGAUCACAUUAUAGCCAUAAUUUUGCACCUUGAUUUUCUUACCUAGUAUUAUAUUCAGAGAUAUUAAUACUCAGAUUAACAUAAACAUUCUC
Molecule: small RNA, 1672 nt
Filed under: Pongo abelii (Sumatran orangutan)
Lineage: Eukaryota; Metazoa; Chordata; Mammalia; Primates; Hominidae
Description: retained intron
Source: RNAcentral